RNAcentral lists this transfer RNA (19 nucleotides) under Sphenomorphus melanopogon. RNAcentral describes it as "partial tRNA-Leu". Lineage: Eukaryota; Metazoa; Chordata; Lepidosauria; Squamata; Scincidae. The record is from RNAcentral.
UCCUCCUGUACUUUUAAAG